UUCGAGUGGCGGACGGGUGAGUAACGCGUGGGUAACCUGCCUUACACAGGGGGAUAACACCUGGAAACAGGUGCUAAUACCGCAUAAGCGCACAGGGCCGCAUGGCCCGGUGUGAAAAACUCCGGUGGUGUAAGAUGGACCUGCGUCUGAUUAGCUUGUUGGCGGGGUAGGGGCCCACCAAGGCGACGAUCAGUAGCCGGCCUGAGAGGGUGGACGGCCACAUUGGGACUGAGACACGGCCCAAACUCCUACGGGAGGCAGCAG
Molecule: ribosomal RNA, 264 nt
Filed under: uncultured bacterium
Lineage: Bacteria
Description: partial 16S ribosomal RNA
Rfam family: Bacterial small subunit ribosomal RNA
Source: RNAcentral